This 1106-nucleotide long non-coding RNA is filed under the name Sinocyclocheilus anshuiensis. RNAcentral's name for it is "lncRNA (ENSSANG00000003777.1)". The record is from RNAcentral. Lineage: Eukaryota; Metazoa; Chordata; Actinopteri; Cypriniformes; Cyprinidae.
GUGGAAAUAUGGACUGCAGCGGUGUUGCACUUGGUUUGGAUGUGGAUAAUAGUUUUGGACAAAUGAUUUGGCAGAACCUCCCUUCCAUGGUGCAUCUGGAUCUCCUGUCCUCUAAAGGUUCUCCUCAGCUCCCGGAGAUGCUCCUAUCGCCUUUGUUCCAGGAUUCACAUCCCAAAGCCUUUCUGCUGUCAAGCCCAGAGCCAUUACUCACCCUUCUCUCCUUGAACAGAAACUCACCAGGUACUCCUGCUGGUGCUUCACAAAUGCGUUUCAUGCCCACACUUGAAGACAAAGGACAAGACGGGGUCGAGCCCAGUCACAACCUCACACCUCUGCGACAUGGUUGUUCUACAAGAGAUUGCCAAGCUGGCACCAAAUCACUUUCACGCAGCAGGAAGAACAAUGCUUUAAACCAAACACUGGUUAGAACUAUGGAGGAACUGAAGGAAGGACUGAUGAUUCAGUCAUUGUGGCAUCUCUCCCAGCACAUUUCAUUGGCAAAUCGAGCCAGUCAUUUACAACAGAGGGUGCUGGCGAUGCUUGGUGAACAUGCUUCUAGGCACUAUAGCCACCAACUGAAUGGUUUGAAGAAGGAACUUCUUGAAGCACGCCAUUCCCCCAAGAUCCCCAUGACACCAGAGUGUCUUUUUGAGACUUUUAAUGGUGUAGAGAUGCAGGAAGCAGAGCAGGCUCUUAUAAGAAACCUCCAGUACCCUCAAGCACAUGGGCAACCUCUGAAAUCCAGAGAUUUGCAGAAUUUAGCACACAAUGGUCAAGCUGUUCUGCAUGGAGUGCUGGAGGCUCUGGACUCAGACGCCACCGGAAGCAGCUCAGAUGAGGAGUGGGACCAUGAAGAUGCCAAAGGGACCUCAGUGGAUUCACAGGUCAUGUGAUUUUGGCAGUGUCUCAGCCCCUGACGGACAGGCAGAUUCAACACACCUUGUGGACAGAGACUAUGGAUCUUUCAUUCACAGCCGGGAACAUGCAAGAUUUGCACUCUGAUCUAGAUAUGGAACCCAGCAGCCCCACACGCCUUCUGAGGAACAUUGAGAGACAGGUGAACGAAAGAAAACCACAGGCGGCAAGAACAUAAAUAAGACAAGAUA